This 5783-nucleotide unclassified non-coding RNA is filed under the name Leishmania donovani. RNAcentral's name for it is "gene:LdHU3.35.4660(CDS-product:structural_mainten ance_of_chromosome_(SMC)_family_protein_putative)". Lineage: Eukaryota; Euglenozoa; Kinetoplastea; Trypanosomatida; Trypanosomatidae. The record is from RNAcentral.
GCCGUUGGCACACACACACCCAUAACGUAUACGGCACCUAUCGCGCACCCGAAUCGGGUAGAGAAGAAAAAAAGGAACAAGAACGAGACGCGGAGAUUGUGACCCUCUUCUCACAGAAUAAAAAAAGCGAGCCUCGGUUCCGUUAACUCGCUUACUUGAAUACUGCACGUGCACACGCCCAGGCGAUUCCUCACGCGGGGCAGCUCGAAUUUUGGAUCGCUCGCUUUUUUUUUGGGGGGGGCGGGUGACAGCGAGAAGGCGUGAGCGCGCAUCUGUGCAUGCGUGUUCCAAUAGACCAGAGUUGCAUAGAAUUGACGCGAUAGAGAGAGAACGGUGGUCCUGUGCUCUCAAGCCACAUAGAGGUACCCUCCCACCACCACUCUUCUACUUCCAUACAUAUCCACUUCCCCCCUCACACACACACGCACGCGCAGAUGCUGUCAAAGAUUCACCGCGUAGAGCUCGACAACUUCAAGAGCUACUACGGCAAAGCCGUCAUCGGGCCCUUCAAGGAUUUCACAUGCGUUGUUGGACCCAACGGCGCCGGGAAGUCCAACUUGAUGGACGCGCUGAGCUUCGUGCUGAGCAGCACCGUCACACAGACGAGUGCCUCAUCGAUGCGCGGUAAGUCCGCCGUCGACUUCAUUCAUCGCAAGGCAAAGACAGCGGGUAACGGGUGCCGCGUGACUUUGGUGAUGCGCCAUCCGGCCUCGAAGAGGGCAGUUGCUGCCGCUGCAGUACCGGCUGGCGACGAGUCGGGCAAAAGCGAUACCGCUGCGUCCGCUGCCCGUCGUGGCGCGGUCGUCGCCGACGACGGGGAGCACGUUCAUCACAGCAGCACCGUCGAGACCUCUUUUACUCGCCAAGUCGAUGUGCAGGGUACGGUCUCAUGCCUGCUCAACGGCAAGCCAGUGACAGAGAAGGAGUACGUGGCCGCGCUUACCGAGCACCGCAUUGGCGCCCGUGUUGACACGUUUCUCGUGUUUCAGCAUCAGGUGGAGGCGGUCGCGCAGAAGAAGGCGAAGCAGCUGACGGAACUACUCGAGCAGGUCAGCGGCAGUGGUGAGCUUCAUGGUGAGUACGCUACCAAGAAGGCCGCACUGGAGAGGGCCAACGAGGCGCUGACGAGUGCGUCUCUCGAAAAGCGCGGGGCUGCCGUGGCGGUGCAUCAAAUGCGACUAGCCAAGAAGGAGGCGGAGCGCUACGAGGAGCUGCAUCAGCAGCUGACGAGCGUCAGGCAAGAGCUAGCCCUCUCCGAGCUCUUCGCCGUCGAAACGGAACUUGAGAAGCGCAAGGAAGAGCUGCAGCAGCGCCGCGACGCGCUUGCGGAACUGGAAAAGAGCAUUGCAACAGAGCAGACAAUCCGGGAGAUGAAGCGGACGUACGCGACCCGGCACAAGACGUACUUGGAGGAGCUGAAAAAGGCGCGUAAGUCUGCCGAUGAUCUGCGGCUUAAGCACAGCACGGUGGAGCGCAUCAAAGCCGCCCUGGCGCACCUAACCCGCAAGGCAGAGCUGCAGCGACAGGAGCUGGAAGCGGCGCAGAAGGCGACAACUGUCCGCACUGUCGAGGCGGAGCGGCUUGAGGGGCAGUUGAAGAAGCAAAAAGCGCUGCUUGACACUUUUGAAAAGCGCUGCGUCGCUGACGACACGAAGCGAGUCACGCUGAACACCGUGCUCAAUCAGCAGCAGCUGGAUGAGUACCGGCAACUGCGGAAGGAGGCGGAGUGCGCGACCGUGAUGCUACGCCAGCGCCGGGAGACGGUGCUGCGGCAACGCGACUCCGCACAGGAGGCCCUGAAACAAUGCGACAGAGCCGCGGAGGCACACCAGCAGCAGAUGAAGGACGUCAGCCAGGCCAUUGAGACGGCCGCGAAGUACGGGGCUGAACUGCAGCAGCGCCGCAACGAGUUGGAGGAAACGGUGAGCACGCUCAAGGCCCAGCUCACGGAAGCCAGUAAGGACCUUGAAACAAUGCAGAAGAAAAACAAAGCACGGGAGGUGGAGUUGGCACGACUGCAGGAACAGUUGCACGAGCUGCGCUACAUGAAAGACACAAGCAAGCAGAACGCGCGCAUGGCGGACGCUCUCCAGGCCUUGCGCUCUCUCUUCCCAAUCCGCGGACGCAUGGUGGAUCUGUGCACGGUGCCCAACGAGCGGCACCGCAACGCGGUCACGGUGGCCAUGGGCAAAAACCUCGAGGGGAUCGUUGUGGAGACGACCGCGGUGGCAAUUCGCUGCGUCAAGUAUCUGAAGGAGCAGCGCAUGCCGCCCAUGACGUUUCUGCCGUUGGACGCAGUGCAAGGCAAGGCUGUUGACGACCGUCUGCGCACAUUUAGUGGCACAUGCAAGCCCAUUGUCGAUGUGGUUCGCUUUGAGCCUGAGCUGGAGCCGGCGGUGCGGUAUACACUGGGUCAGACGCUGCUGUGCGACACGGUUGCCGAGGCCAAGUCGGUUGCCUACGGCCGCGACGGGGAGCGCUUCAAGGUGGUGACGCUGGACGGCACAGUCCUCCUGAAGAACGGGUCUGUGCAAGGUGGUUUGGCCUCCGUACAGAGCCGCGCCCGCAAGUGGGACGAGAAGAAGUACGAGGACCUUCGCGUUGCCCGCGACCGCCUGUUGAGCGAGGCCGCCGCAGGUGGUGAGGCAGAGCUGGCUCGCAUCCAGAUCUCGAUUCGGGACAUGGAGGCGCGGCGCGAGUUUGCUGAGAAGCGCGUCGCUGUAGUGCACACGGAGCAAUGCGCUAACGACACCAAGACGCAGCGGCUGACGGAGGAGCUGGCGAAGCUGGAAAGCCGCGGAGCCGAUUUCGCGACGCGGCACAAGGGAUACGCGGCGGAGCUGCAGGUGAUGCACAAGGAGCUGCUGGAGCUCUCCAAGUCGAUCUCGCGCGUCGAGGGACAGGUUUUUGCUGACUUCCAGAAGAAGGUGGGCAUCCCCAACCUGCUAAACCUGGAAGGACAGCAAACGCAAGAGGCAAAGCAGCGCGCCGAGACCCGGCAGCAGCUGCUACUCGUGAUCCACAAGCUGGAGAGCUCGCUCGAGAUGGAGGUGAAGCAGGUCGGCGACGCGAAGAUCGCCGAUUUGGAGGAGGCAUGUGCGCGGCUGCACAAGGAAAAGGAGCAGUGCAAAAAGGACCUCACCGAUUACAAAGCGCUCGUGGAGAAGGCGGAGCGGCAGCACCAGGAGACGAGGAAGACGGCUGCGCAGAGCCGCACCGAGCUCGACUCGCUGGAGCAGCAGAUUCGAAACGCGACUCGAAACUCCGAGACUGAUCUGGCUCGUGUCGCCCAGGCGCGGAAGCUCGUCACAGGCAUUCAGCUUGCCUGCGACUCUCUGCGGUUGCGUCGGCUGAACCUGGUGCGCCGCUGCCAGAUGGACGAAAUCGGUAUUCCACUGAAGCCGGCGGCCAGCAGCGGAGCGAAACGCGCGCGCGGCGAGGAUACGGGCGCGGCCACCCGUGCCUCCUCCGGGCUGCCUACGCCGUCGUCGCGCCAAAGGUCCAGCGCCACGGGGAGCCGCACGCAAAUUCUUCUCUCCGAGCCGUUCACACUGCUUGUCGAAGGCGGAGCGAGCCAGAGCGGCGUUCGCGGAGCAACGAGCGCCGCAUCUUCUUUUGCCUCCUCGCCGGCCCUCGACUCAGAAACGACCAUGUGCAUCGACUUCUCCUCGCUCACGGAGGCACAGCGGGUGGCGGCAGCGGACCGGGCUCAGUUUUCUGCGUACAGCCACCAUGCCCAGGCGCAGCUGGAGGCGCUCGCCGCCGAGAUGGAGUCUCUGGCGCCAAAUAUGAAGGCCGCCUCGCGCGUCAUGGCAUCGGAAGAUCGUCUUGGGGCGUCGUCGACGCUGCUCGACGAGGCCCGCGAUAUGGCCCGUGUGGCCAACAAGGAAUUCACCCGCGUCAAAGAGCAGCGCACGGCGCGCUUCAUGGAGAUGUUCGAGAAGGUGGCGGCCACAGUGGACCGGGUGUACCGCGAGCUCACCAUGGGCACCCGCGCUCAUGCAGUGCACGGCUCGGCGUACCUUAGCCUGGAGAAUGUGGAGGAGCCGUACCUCGGCGGCACCACCUACCACGCCACACCGCCUCUCAAGCGCUUCAUGCCGAUGGAGCUGCUCUCCGGCGGCGAGCGCACCAUGGCGGCGCUGGCGCUUCUCUUUGCGAUCCACGAAGUCUCCCCGACGCCCUUCUUCGUGCUGGAUGAGGUGGACGCGGCGCUAGACGCCGGCAAUGUAGAGAAACUUGCGAGCUACCUUCGCAAAAACUGCCAGUCGUGCCAGUUCGUCGUGGUUUCGCUGAAGGAACAGCUUUACCACAUGGCAGAUAUGCUGCUGGGCGUUAUGAAGGACAAGGAUCGGGAGAGCUCCAAGGUGAUCACCAUGGACCUGCGUGGCUACGCGUACUAGCGUGCACAAAAACAACCACACGCAGAAAAGGAAAAAAAAGCGAGCUCUGCGGGGAAAAGACGGACGAAAAGACAGUCGCCUCUGGCAAGCAGCGAUGCUACAAUGGCUGGGUGUGAAUAAAGAACAAGGGCAAACAAUGACUCACCUCUACGCAUCAUACCUUCGUACCUUCGACCACUUCGGGCCACUUCGAUUCGGCUUCCUUUCGUCCCUUCUCGUGCGCUCGUGCUCGUACGUCUCCUAUUCGUGCGAAGCGCACCCAUAUUGGCGCACCACGACGAAGCAGGUCGACGGGGCGGCGAUGGCAGGAAGCAGUCGCUGGAAAGCCCCUAUCCUGUCCUCCUCCCCGCAUGUCGAGCAUUUGUUACGCUGCUUUUGUGGCCGUCGCCACUCCAGCGUACGGUUUGUACAAGGGUACGCGAACGCUCGUGUUUUUCUUCGCAGUCUCCUACUCUUCUGUUCUCCGUCUAUCUUUAUGUUUCUUGUUUUGCGCCCACUCAAGUGUCGCAGGAGGCGGAGGCGGAGGUGGAUGGGGAGUGCACCUGUUGUUGUUCUUCCCCCACCCCACCCCCGUAUGUGAGCCGAAACGUAGGAGGUGCUCUCGCUCGCUCGCUCGUGUUUCCUCUGCCGCUGCUCGGCACACUCCUCCUUUUCAACAACGAUAGAAUUGCUGUGAUACAGAGCUACAGAGGGAGUCCACCCGGCCCCGCCCCGCCCCCCCCCUCGUCGUUGUUGUCUGUUUCUGUCUCCCCCCCCAACCCACUCACCGGUAUAUGUGUUUGCACCUCCGCAAGGCCAAGAAAGGGGCAGAGUCCAUUCUUUUCCCCUCCCCCCCAUAGACGGUCUUUUCCACCUUUUUUGUAAUCUCACUUUCUAUGUUUGUUUUUACCCCCCUCCCUCCUCUCUCUUGGGGAGUAGGGCCUCGCGCCUCUGAUGUUUCCUGCACUUUUUUUUGUUCGUGCGUGUGUGUGUGCGUGGAGGGGGAGCGUACCUUUGUGAUUCCAGCUGUCACGGAUGAUGGUAUUCCCGGCAGGUGUGCGCGUGUGAGUGGUACGCAUAUCAUGAGCAGAAGGCACCAGCAGUCAGAAGUGCUCGCAUGCACAACACGCGCGCAUGCGUUGUUUGCGUGAGAGGCGGCGCGACGUAGUUCAUGUGCUCUCGAACCCUGCUCGCGUGAUCAGCCCGCGUCUAAUGUAACGGCAAGUCACCCACGCGCAGCCUUGACCGCCGCAAUCUGAAGUGGAGCGACGACAAAUAGGGGGUGCCGGCGCAACCACUGUGUCUAAUGCUGCACGCACCAUCAGGUCCAUGACCUCGUACUUCUCCCCUCCCCCUCCUCUGCUCUUUUUCUUCGAUGGCGCGCAUUACGGCUCACUUAAG